RNAcentral lists this long non-coding RNA (1538 nucleotides) under Sorghum bicolor (sorghum). RNAcentral's name for it is "long non-coding RNA (SBIC_LNC008370)". The record is from RNAcentral. Lineage: Eukaryota; Viridiplantae; Streptophyta; Magnoliopsida; Poales; Poaceae.
UAUGAAGAUGCAAUAAAAGUAUUUAUCAUUAGAUAUGUUUUAUCUCUUAUGUCUCCACCAUGUUGUGAAUGAAGAAUAUCAGGAAACAAGUGUGGGGGAGACACUCGAUGACUGAAACGAAUGAAUUUUCGUGCAACAGUUAAAAUAUUUGAAUGGAUAUGACAUGAAGACCAAGCUUGGUGAAGUGGACCCUGAGGGGCCACUUGCUAGGGGCGGCCGCCCAAUACCUUGGCCGCCCACCCAGGGGAUGAGCCCAGCUAGUUCCUGCUUCGACCACGGCCAGGUAUGAUCCCCUUAUGUUACAAAUCUUUAGCUUGAUCGUGUUGUUUCGAUUCGGAAUGAAAUAUCUUGAAUUAAAUCACCUCAUAUACAUAUAUAUGUUGAGAAGGUAUUUUAUUUUAAUCAUGACCACAAGAUAGACUCACACCAUGAUAAUUCCAGGGAAUUCCUAUUGGUGUUGGGAACUUUAACUAUAGGGACCCCAUAUCACUUAAGUUGUUGUGGAAAGAUAGUAUGAAUUAUGAGAACUUGAUUUCUGGCGUCUAAUCAUUUGGAGAAUUUCUUUUCAAAAGAAUCUAAAAAUUGUUAGCUACACUUCUCCUAUGUAGAAAAAUUAAUAUCCUACUAGAGCCAUACAUGAUACACAUACUGAAAACUUGCUCACAAGCUACUUGUUUUGUAUUGAUUUUUGUCAAACAUUGUUGACCUAUGUUGAGAGGAUUAUUAUGGUCCCAAGACCAAGACCACAUACACCCACAUAUAUCUGCCAUUCCUACACUAGGAAUGCGCACAAACAUGCCUUUUCAUCCACAAAAUGUUUUACUCCAACACUAGGAAAAAACACAAAAAGAAUCUUGUUAGGAAUAAUUGAUCUAAGUUCUUUAAAAGUCUUUCUAAAAAAAUUUCCUAGUUAUAGAAGGGAGGAAUGUGGCUAUGCGAAAUAAAAGUAUUGGAAUAGAAGAAAGAAAAAGAAGAAUAAAAGAAAAGAAAGAAAAUAUAGCCCAUACCCUCCUUUGCAAAGACCAUUAGUGUUUUAAAGGAAGAAAGACAUUCAUCAAAGAGCAAAGUAUAAUUAGGAUUAGCCACUAUAAAUUCCACACACAUGCACUUCUUGAUCUAGGAGUAUGCUAUUCCUCUCUAUGGAUCUGAGUUUUGACUUAGCGACACAUACAAGGUAAGUAUGUUGUUUCCUUAAAUUACCUUCAACUCCAUAUAAGGCUCUAUAGAAUAGGAUACAUAUAAGGCAUACAUCAUACAUGCCUUGGUGAGUUCCACAAAAUACCACUACAAUGAGUGAUUCGAGUGCGCUACAUGAUGGAGAAGGGUAAACUAAGUUUUUCUUUGCAAAAAUAUGAUAAAACUCCAAGUGACAGAACUGAAGGAAAAGGGAGCUCUACUUCAUACUUUUCCAUGCUCAACUUCCCAAAGUUUUGUGGUAGAUACUUUAAAUCUCACAGUGCAAGUAUGAUUAGGAAUAAAUCUACUAGUGAUGUCUUGGUUUGAGGUUAUGCUUAAAGUAAUCCAUCCUUUAACCCAAG